UGUUUCUUGCAGCCGCUUAGCGGACCCAUUAACAACUGACCUGCGAAAUAUGAACUCCUUAGCAAAGAUCAUGAGACAAAGGCGUAUCGACAGAGGAGCACUUACACUUGCUUCAGCAUAAGUUAAAUUUCAAAUUGAUACUGAAACUCAUGAUCCUUUAGAUAUUGGUUCAUAUACUUGACAUGGAAUGUUUUUCUUACCUAAAUCGUGCUCUUGAGAGCUCGAUAUCGCCGAUAGUUAUAUUUGCUACGAACAGAGGAGUAUGUAAUGUAAGAGGAACUGAUAUGACUAGUCCACAUGGCAUACCUGUAGAUCUGCUGCAUCGUCUUGUAAUAAUUCGAACAGAAACUUAUGGCCCUACUGAAAUGAUUCAG
Asparagus officinalis (garden asparagus) is the source of this 374-nucleotide long non-coding RNA. RefSeq lists it as uncharacterized. The record is from RefSeq and is a predicted model, not a curated record. The transcript has 4 exons. Lineage: Eukaryota; Viridiplantae; Streptophyta; Magnoliopsida; Asparagales; Asparagaceae.